This 253-nucleotide ribosomal RNA is filed under the name uncultured bacterium. Its description in RNAcentral is "partial 16S ribosomal RNA". It matches the Rfam family "Bacterial small subunit ribosomal RNA", at positions 524 to 776 of the family's 1533-position model. The record is from RNAcentral.
UACGGGGGGCGCAAGCGUUGUUCGGAUUUACUGGGCGUAAAGGGCGCGUAGGCGGCGCAACAAGUCACUUGUGAAAUCUCCGGGCUUAACCCGGAGCGGCCAAGUGAUACUGUCGUGCUAGAGUGCGGAAGGGGCUACUGGAAUUCUCGGUGUAGCGGUGAAAUGCGUAGAUAUCGAGAGGAACACCUGCGGCGAAGGCGGGUAGCUGGGCCGACACUGACGCUGAUGCGCGAAAGCCAGGGGAGCGAACGGG